Molecule: long non-coding RNA, 10158 nt
Filed under: Marmota monax (woodchuck)
Lineage: Eukaryota; Metazoa; Chordata; Mammalia; Rodentia; Sciuridae
Source: RNAcentral
NGUUAUGGGAAAGAGGGAAGUCAGGCAGGAAGCCAACUGUUGUGGGGUUGACAGGCCCUUGUUUUAUCCUGGUGGCAGAGUUAGCAGGGUCGUCCUGAGAACAGCACUCUAGAGACCUGGCACUUUCCCAGUUUGAUAAGGGGCUGCUUUUUCAAAAUAGGCCUCACCUUCCCAAGUUUGGAGAAUAAUGUAACUCCUCUGAUCCUGUUCCUCUUGCUUCUCUUUGCUAAAUAAAAGUAUGUGCAUGAGCUUGAUGUGCAGCCAGCUUGGUUCAGGGGAGACUUCAGAGACCCCCUGGAAGAGGCAGUUGGUAGGCCCAUGGCAGCCCUUCCCCCAGAGAACUUUCUUAGGACAGCCCUGAGUACAAGCUGCAAACUUUUCCCCUUACCUGUUUCUCUGAAGCUGGCUGGCGGCUGCUACCCAUUAGUUCAAAGAGGGUGGCCAUGUGUGAGCCUAGGACAUUGAGUCUCAGUGGUUCACAGCUCAGACCAGGGUCAUCAGAGGUGCCCUUGUCUCAAUUAUCCCGUUCCAGCCUCUCUUCUACUCAUUUUUUUACAAGGAAAUUAAGAAGAUGUGUAUACUCAGCAUAAAGUGAGCAGUGAACAUGUUUGGGAUUCCAUUUUCUUAAGGAGCAAUCUCCUUAGUCCCUGGAAUGACUCCAGCUCAUGCAUGCUCCUUGCCCACCAGUGGAACCCCAGUGUGCACAACUGUUGUUGAUGUAACUACAAAGAGCAGCUCAUUGAUGCCCCCAUGCUUCUAGGAACAGGGGGUGAGUUGGGGAGUCAUCCUGAUUAGCUUAAGCCAAGAGGAAUCUGACCAUCAGUAUGACCUCUUCAGUGACAGGCAUCCUAAAAAUGUAGCUAAGGCUCGGGCAGGCCAGGGAGGCACCCUGGGCCUGCUGUUCGCAGCAUGCCCCCUGACCCUCUGGUGCUGUGGGAGUGUUGCAAGGGCAGGAGGGAGUUGGGUGAGCCAAUUGGUUUCAUUUGCAAGGAUUCAUAUUUAUUUCCUGUACUCAAAUAACCUUUUACUAGAAAAUCAGAAUUACACCUACUCAUCAUUUCAUGUUUUUAUAGUAAAAUUCUGGGGUGAACAUUUUUCCCCUUAAUUCAGAGAAGACAAAUGUUCUACAAGGCAAUCUUUCCUUCAGGUUUACCCCUAAUUUUGGUAGGUUUUAGCAAAGGGUGCACAGGCUGUCUCCCCACUGGGCCCUGGAGGGGCUAGGGACCUCCCUUGGAAGGGCCUCCUGUGCCAACUGAGCCUGUGACAUAUUGUGAAGAGCUCAGAUGGUUUGCCACAGUACAACAGCCUCUGACUUUAUAAAGGAAAAGAGCAUCCACUGGGAUGGAGAAUCCAAACAAUGUUGGGAAAAAGAGCCAUUGGUGUCCGCAUGCAUGGAGUUAGGGUCCUUUCCUUUGCACCAGUAUAUUUUUUUUUCCCCUCGUUCUGGGGAUUGAACUCAGGGAUGCUUUACCACUGACCCACAUUCCUUGCCCUUUUUUAUUUUGAUAGAUAGGGUCUUUCUAAAGUACCGAGUGGCUCACUAAGUUGCCUAGGCUGUCUUUGAAUUUGCCAUCAUUUUGCCUUAGCCUUCCAAGUUGCCCCCACACCCAGAAGCACUGGGGAUUUUGUGGAAACCAACUGGCCCAGAGAUACCCAAGCCUUCAAGAGUAUUAAAAAUAUAUGAUUUGCUGGGUUUCUGCACCUUCAUAUUUCAAAAUGCUCAGACCCUCGGGCAUCACAGGAUAUGUUCACAGACGUGUUUCGUUUUGAUUUUGUUUUCUAGAUGUUGCUUAGAGCAAAAUUUAAUGUGCAGAGCUCUCCCAUGGCCUUGGGCUGCCCGAAGCUGUUUGUUCUAAGCAGCUCCUAGAGGUGGUUAUCCAGGGCCUUAGAUCCCAUGCCUUUGCUUGGCCAGGCUCCAGGUGGCACCUGGGGUCUAGUGCACAGUCUGUGGGAUCUAACCAUGUGACCAUAUCUGUAGAGUCACCACAGGCUGGACUUUGUGGCCUCUGAGUGCUGCAGCUCUGCCCUUGGUGAAGCAGAAAAACUCAGCACACUUCCCUCAGAGCACCCUCAUUGUUCACCAAGCCCUAGUUCACUUUCUUCGCUGUGAGCUUUUCAUGCCAUUGAUGUCAUUCUUUAGUGGCAGUUUGUCGUCAGCUCAGCAUCAGAGACCUUUGAUCUCUUGGUCUUGGGCUUUCUCAGUCAUAGACUGGUCAUCAAGGCCCAGGGCCCACUAGCAAGAGUCCCAUGGUAAGGGUUUGCUGUACGUGGUUAAUGGGUCAUCUCUUUGUUCAUCCAGGUCCCAGGUGUGUGAUGGCGGCUGCAAUCUGUCUUGUGGGUAUUAAUGCGAUCUUCACUGAUGGCGACUGUACUCCAGCUGUUGUGCAAAACUGGAGCUUGCUGGUGAGUUCCAAAGGCCAGUGUCAACCAGUAUGGUCAGGACAGGCCCCAGCAUUGCCUGAGAACCCCAGACUCUGGGGUAGGGCCUCCAGUCUGGGUGCUCAUCUCUCCUGGUGGUUCAGUGCUCUGCACUGUUUUGUCCAGCCCCAGCCUGCUUAGGAAAAGUUAUCCAGGAUAGUCACCAGCCAUUUUCAUAGUGCAUCAUGGCCUUCUUAGGUAAGGCUGAUACUGUUAACAUGUGGUUAUCCAGUAGCAACCUAGACUGAAGUGUUCCACCAGCAUCUAAGCCUUUUUCUGAAAUUCAGCAUGUUGUUGGAAAUCUAUUUUAGAUGUAGUAUGUAUGCUCCCCUACUUUAUCAGUCCAAUUACAUUAAGUAUAAUUCAGCAUUUUCUUGACUCAGGGACAUUUUUAUGAGCCUCUUCUGAAAGGGAUAAUCACUUGACUGGUAUGACUGAAUUAAGUCUGCAAGAUUCUCCAGGAAUCCCUCUAUACCACUUAGUUUUUCUAGUUAGUGAUGAUUUUGGUCAUUCGUCUUCUUGCCAGUGUCAGCUGUCACUUCUCAGUCAGUAGUCUUAAAAAAUAAUAAUAAUGUACAUUCUCAGAAGUAUCCUACCUGCCAGGUACCACAUAUUGAGACUUCUGGUGUCUUUGGAAAGCUUGGCUUAGAACAACAGGAAUGUCAGGGGCUGGGAGACAGCAAUUUAUGUCUCAGCCGAAAUAAGGUGGCAGAUUUCAUUCCUAUGAUGGAUCAGAAAGGAGGCAAGAUUCCUGUUAAGGACAGAGGACCAGGUAGUGCUGCCCACAGAGGUCAUUACCACAUUUUGAGGACCUAAAAUGUGACUUCACACUCAGAGAACAGCCCCUCUUAGUGCUUGACCAGAAGUGCAGACUUCUGGUGUGCACAGCCCACCUUCCACCUGCCUGCACUUGGGCAGCUUUCUGGACAGGAAGUGAGCUACCUGCACUUCAAGUAUCUUUCCUACUGAAGUGUAUCUUCACUGACUUCAACUUACCAACAGGCAACAUUUUUCCACAACUCAUUGGGCAGCUGGUAUUUGUCCUGCUAAUCUGUGGUCUUCUGCUUUGUUAGAUUUUCCUUUUGUUGUGGUUCUUAGUAGUAAUGCCCACGUAAUUCUUGUUGGUAUUAUCACUCAAACUUUUUUAAAAGCCUUAGUUUUGUUUUAUUUCCCCUCCCCCUUCUCUAGAUAAAUUUAAAGACCAAUUAAAAGCCACCCAUGUAAUUUUUUGGAAGCAAGUUACAUGUGAUUUUUUUUUUAAGGCAGUAAAGCAACUAAAACAUCAGUCAUUAAAAGGCAUAUACCCAUGAGCCCAGGCAAGGCAGCAGCAGCAUUUGAUGAAUUCACGGCAAUGCAAGGAUCUAGUAAUGCAAGCUGAGAGGUGGGGUGGGCGACGCAGAAAAAUUUGGAAACGGGGACUAUGACUUGGUGGGAAGAUGCCCCAGAAGUGCUGGCAAAGAUGAGGAGCUGCCAGCUGUUGUGGAAGCAGGUGGGGAGGAGGGGGUGUUCAGCACUGAUGGUGUUAGCUCAGCGUGUGGUUCACCAGUUUCUGGAGCCAUCCUCAGGUUACAGAAGGGAAUUUGGAAGAAGCUAUUUCUCUUUCCAAAUUUGAAGUCAGACUACAUUGCUUAUGUGAUCGACCUUUGUAGGGUAGAAAGGACCUGGCUGAGAAGUUAGGAUCUCCAUCUGGAGCUGGGCUUUCUCCAGCCAAUGGAGUUGGAACCAUGCACAGAUGUAGCGAGCCAGCCUGCACAUACUUGUUAUUGUGGGCUGAGAAGUGUGAUAUGAGACUGGUGGAACAGUUUCUAAUUACAGAAGACUGUUCCUCUAGAGAUUCCAUAGAUCAUGAACUUUGCAUUUAAAUUUUUUAAAUGCUAAUUUGUUUUAUAUUGUGAAUUAGUAUCAGUGCUUGAUUUUAAGAAGUCAAGCUGACAGACACAAAAAACAUUCUUAGGACUGGGGUUGUGGCUCAGUGGCAGAGCGCUUGCCUCACACAUGUGAAGCACUGGAUUUGAUCCUCAGCACCACAUAAAAAAUAAACAAACAAAAUAAAGAUAUUGUGCCCAGGUAUAACUAAAAAAAAAAUUUAAAAAACAUUCUUAUUAUUAACAUUUGUAUAUGAUGUCCCAUGUUUAUUUGGAGUUGGGUGGAGGGAAAUAUUCCUUAUCUGACUUUUGGUAAAAAUGAUUAUUAGAGGGUUAAACUCUUGGGAAAGAAAUCACAAGUGGUUAGGUCAAACAGUACAUGUACAAGGGAGGCAUGGAAGGAGAGUUAAAUCUUAGCACUGGAAGAAAAAGCUCACAGUACACCUGGACAAACAGGUUUUGACUUAGUUACAGUAAGUGUCCCCUGCUCUGUCAGUCAGCAAGCAUCCUGACCCCACACCCAUAUCUUUUAAGGCACCAUUCUCCAUUGUCUUCAAAUUCUGUGUACCUCAGACAAGAUUUUAUACACAUCUCUAGGUCCUAUGCUUGCAUGUCACAGUUAAUCUCUUCCCAGGAAAGGUGCUGUGAAAAGACACCCCCCUCAGCCUGACCCUCUCCCUGGCUCACAGUCCCUUUGUGGUGCUUCAUGUUCCCGGAUGUCUUUAGAUUCUGUUUAAAAUGUCCUUGUUAAUACAUUCCAAGGUCUGAACUCCGUUCCUAGCUAAACCUCUUCCUUGUUUACAGGGACUGAAAUAGCCACACUUUGACCUUCUGUUCAGUCUGGGAACAUUGAUGGCAAUGUGGAUACAUUCUUUUCCCAUGUGAGAAUUAUAUCUGUAUGGCACAGUUCUGGAAGGCUCAGAAAAUUUUAGUUUUGUUCCUUUCUUCUCUCCUUCCUUCCAUGGUCUCCCUCCCCCCACUUCAGAAGAUCAGCUUCUGUAAUCAGCCUGUAUUAACCAGAACUUUACCUAUCUUCCUGUUCAGGCAGAUGUAUACAGAAUUGUAGUCAGGACCGGUUGCUUUAUUGCCCAAAAAAAUUGGAAAUGCCUUCUCCUCCCUGCAGCAGUAUCAGCUUUCUAUAGAAGGCACUGUUCAUUGAGGUGCUCAGGGUGCCACAGGGGUGGUGUGCACAACUGAGAUGGGCCCCCUGGGUACAAUCUCCUGGCGUUGUCAAGACUCUGACCCAAGUCUAGUGCCAUAUCCCAUCGUGGCCUAUCGCUCCUAUUUCAUCUGCUCUGGAUUCCCAGUGUUCAAAUUACAGGGUUGUGUUUUUGGUAUAUGUAAAUGACUAUAUGUGGAGUUGAGGAAGGAGUAGAUAAUUUUUGGAAGGAUUAUCCAAGAUAAUCCCCGUGAAAGCCACAUGGCCUGGACAGCGAGAAUUCCUGAAGGAGGAAGCCCUGGAGGCUGAAGGGAUCAGGAAAGGUGAGUUGUAAAAGAUAGGAGAGUGUAUAACAUGGGCGGACAGGGAGCAGGACAGAAAAGAGAAAGUACAUAGCCUGGGACAGAGCUUUUGAGGGCCUUGAAGGAUGUAUUAGGGAUAUGAGACUUGGGGAGUCACUGAGGACACUUGAGCAGGGCUUGGAAAAGGGGGGUUAAGGAAUCAUCAUUACUUUGCUGCCUACCCAUUGCAAAGCGGUUGGAGAUGCACAGUAACAGUCCAUAUACUAAGAGGUACACCCAAAGUAGUGAUGGCGAUAUUGGAAAGGAGCAGAUGAUCAUGUAGACUUAGUGUGAGAGACUGCACAGGGCCCAGGGAUGGAUGCAGGGACAGAAACUGUCAGGGCAGAAGAUGGUCUUGGCUGAAAUACCUGGGAAAAGCUGACAAGAAUAGGGAAGGAAUUGCCUACGAACCACAAGCUCGCCAGCAGCAAAAGUAGACAGCAAGGCACUGAAAGAGACACCAGAGACUCCACCCAUCCUAAAUCAACAGGCCAACUUGGGAAAGGAAACUCAUAUGGUCCACUUCCUUUGCCUGCCCAUUCCAUUUCUUCCUUUUGUAGUCCCUGAAAGCAACAUGACAGCUUUGGUUACAGGCCAUGUCACCACAGCUAGGCCAGCUGCUUUUCCACUCCAAGCCCAGAGAGGCAGCAGUAGCCCCUUCCUUCUCAGAGCACAGGGGCUGCUAGAUAAUUGUCUCAUGUGAAUUAUCCCAAAGUAAGAACCACUGUAGAGUGUUCUUCAGAAAAGGUUUCUAGGAAUCCACACAUAAACCUUCCUUUGGCUGCUUGCAUGUAUGUGGUCAAGUUUAGAAUGAGAUGGAACUUGCAGAAGAAGAAAAUUGCCCUUGUCUAUUUCUUUAGUAAGCUAGUUUCACUCCACUAUGACAUACACUCCUUGGGAGUAGAAUGAGAGGAGUUGGUACCACGUCACACUGUAAUCAGUGCACUUGAGGGGAGUUCAAGGGCAGCAAACCAGGCUUAGUAAGUGUGGAUUCACAAGGGAACUUUAGUUGCUAUAGCCCCCUAAACAAUGGCCCCACCAUAAGCCCCCUGCAACUCCAAGUCCCAACCCUGGGCUGCUUCAUACAACAUAUUCUCAGAUUGUGGGGUUUUGUGCCCCCAUCUGCUUCCAGGUAGAAAUCAGGGUGUAGCAGACAAAAGACACAGUUACCAGGAGGGGUCCUAUUAUUGGCCCUGCUGAGUGUCACAGGUGUAUGGCAUGCACCAAAGACAGGAUGUACACACCCUGCCCGGGGUAAUUUCUUCAUUAUAGAGCAUAUGAUAAGUGGUAGUUGACUCCUCAUUUCUGUGCUGGGUACCAUGGGGAGGCAAAGGAAUCAGAAAGUGAGAUUUUCCUGAAGCAGUUUACUUCCUUGUUCACUCCUAGUAGAACCUUUUUGUGGCUCAGAGAAAUCUGAGGCUGUAAAGGUGGAAAUGGGCCAGGAUCACUUGAGCACAUUACAGCUCUCUAGUUUUGGCCUGCUAGGAUUAAUUCACUUUUUACAACAACCUGAAUAGGUAGAUAGGUAGUAAGUAGCAUAGUAACGCAGUCAAGGUUCAGGAUAUUCAGAUUCCCAUUCUAGAAAACCUUGUCCUGCUUUCUCCCUAGGGAUUUCCCAUGAUCCAUGGAUGCAUGGUAUUAUAUUGGGCCUUAAGACUUGCAAGCCAUUAUUUCUACCCAUUUGUAUGUCAUCUAAAAACUAGGAUAUGGAAAGGUAUUUUGUGUGUCAAAGUUCAGGUCCAGAUGCAGCACUAUACAGUGGUGGUUUAUGGAGAAGUGUUAAAAAAUUAUUCAGUUCUCCAUGUUUGAGUGUUCACCUAAAUAUUCUGAGUUCAGGAUUUACUAAGUAAUUUCUACCUUGGAACAAUUAAGUGGUUGUUAUCAAUAAUGAUGUUUUCUUCAUAGCCUUUUCUCUCACAUAAGCAUUUCCCUGUACAAACGUCUAGUAUAUACUUAUUUGCUUUUGCGAAUACCUUUUCUACAAAUAUAAGUGAGUAUGACAUGUUGGCAAGAAACAAAGGCAUUAGGAGUUGGAGAAGGAAAGGAAAAAUAGAGGGUUUGGAGUUUGGGGGUUUUUUUGGUUGGCAGGGGGCGGGUAUUGAGAGGGUAUUGAGGAUCACCCAUAGGGCCUCAUAACUAAUGCUAGGCAAGCACUCUACCUCCCAUCUACAACCCUAGCCCUUUUUAUUUUGAGAUAGGGUCUCAUUAAGUUGCCCAGGCUGACCUCAAACUUGUGAGCUUCCUGCCUUAGCCUUCCAAGUAGUUCAGACUGUAAGUGUGACAUCACACCUUAGCAAUUGUACAAGCAAAUUGGGUAAACCAAAACAUAAUAGAUCGGAGAUGCAUAUAUGACCAGAGUGCUUAUCUGGCACACACAAGGCCCUGGAAUCAAUCCUCACAACACAAAGAGAAAACGUCCAGGACCAGCCCCAGAUAGGUAGGAGUCAAGGACUUCAAUGAUUAUUUGAAGGCCCUUGUUUUUGCCACAAGGCAAAGAGAAAGGUAGUUCUUUGCAACUUUAGGAAAGGGGACCUUUAAAAGUUUUUAUUAUGUAAGUAACGAUAAGUGGAAAUUAAAUGUUAGCCCUAUAUCUCACUGUGCUGUGACCAUUGAUCCUCUUGUGUAUGGUCUUUAUUGGGAGAGAUUGUUUACCUACAUACACACACACUCAUAAGGAAUCACUCUUGAAUUUCUCCAUGGGUUUCUCAGUCAUGGCAUUAGGAAAAAAGUACUGUACAUGGUUUUGAGGUCUACUCUGCCAACAUGUUUUCUUUCUGUUUCAGGCUUGAAAAAAACCUUGCCCAGUUUUGAUCCCUUCAAGACUUUGCCACAGCCUCUAUCACACAUCUGUUUUACUCGAAGAAAAAAAAUAUAUAAUAAAAAAUGUUUUACUCUUUUACACUGUAUAAUUCUAAGAAAUAGUGUUAUUUGUGAAUGCAUGGUGUGACAUAAUUUCUGUACAGUUUGGAGAUAUUUUCAAAUGAAACAUAAAAGAAGUCAACAAUAAAACCAAGAAAGUGAGUAUUUUUAUACCAAACAUUUUAAUUCUGACAGGAUGGAUUCUUACACUGGGUUGGAUCACAAAUUUUAUGCUAGACUUAUCGAAUGCUUGUAAUUAAAAAUAUCUAUUUUUUUCUUUAAAAUAAGCUGCAUGUUUGAGGCAUGUUUCGAAAUAGUUACCAACAUUUCCAGAAUUGUAUUGUUAAAUGUAUAGACACUGUCUGCCUGGCUGAAGUCCAGGGUUCAUUAGUAAUGUAGUGUUAGAACUGUUCUCUUCAGCCCUGGUCUGUGAUCCCAGUUCCCAUAUGAUAUCCCUACAAGACAAUCAAAGCUUCCAGGAGCUACUUUAAUGGCAUAUUCACAACUGGGCAAAGAAAACUUGGGGAGAAAUUCUUUAGACUAGAGUGUGCCCUUUGAAAGAUCUGGCAGCUCCAUCUGUGACUGUAUGAACUGUGUGUUUCAAGUUUCAUGUUUAUCUUUUAUGAGAGCUUGCUCCCCUGUGUGACUAACUUGCUGUAUUACUCACCUUCCAUAGCUAUGCCACUGCUCCUGUGGGACUGUAGUAGCCCUCACUGUGAAGGAGCACCUUGGCUUCGGGGCUGGCUUUGCCCAACUACAAUGGGCAAGCCCACAUCUGCCAAGUGAUUUUACCCAACUUUGGCUGAACUAAGCUAGUGUUCAAACAGACCGCCUGUCACAUGUUCUGGAAUCCCAGGUUGCUUGUCGUGAGGUUCCCAACUACUCUGGCACAGGGGGAACCACGGUAACCAAUGGCCAAGAGGAGGACGGUUGGGCUUCUUUCAAAAUGGUCAAAGCUAAACAGUCUUUGUGUUUUAAGGUGACACAUUCCAGAAUCUGUGACAGCUCAGCCUCUCCCCCUUCCCCUUGUAUAAAAGCCAUGUGUAAAACUAUAUUGACCUAAGAGUUUCUAACUGCUAAUAUAGCUAGAAAUGAUCACAAUCUUUCCUACUGAUCUGCUCACUCACUGUGUUGAAAAAUUCAAUAUUUUAAUGAUUAUAUGCUUGAUUUGGGGGUUUUGUUUGUUGUAUCAUUUUUCAUUAGAAAUAAAAAUAACAUUUUUAAUGGUUAUCACAACAAAGCAAAGCUAGGAGUGAGGGGCUCUUUCUUACCAACAAGAAGAAGAAAGAGGGCAGGCAGUAGCCUAGAGGCUCCUGAUAGAUCUGCUUGGGUGUUUAGGGAGGGUCUAUGCCCUCAGCACCACUUAACUCUUGGUGAGACUCCUGUAUUUGAUUUUAAGGAAAACAAAGCCACUUCACUAUUAUGCUUUUUUAAACUGUUUGUUUAAAGGUACUUUUCUAUUGUUAUUUUUAAAAAAUAAAGUGCUUAUUCCAGCUAUCACACCAUUGCUUGACAA